AUGCUCGCGAGUGACCGGAAUCAUGACAAGAUCUCUACGAUCACGACAACCGACCCUGGUAACGAACCCGCCGAUUUCGACAGAGCCAUAUCUACGACCGGAUAUGGAUUGUUUAAUGUGCUAUUACUACUGGCGGUGCUGCCAAUUGCAUGGGCCGCCGUUUUUGACACUACCUCUAGCGCAUUCAUCUUGGCAUCGGCAGAAUGCGACCUUCAGCUUAUUACAUAUUUUCGUAAAGGCAUGCUUGUCGCAUUUCCUUACGUAGCUAUGACGAUGUCUGCUUUUUUAUGGGACUACAUAACGCCCUAUAUAAGUGUGAAAACGCUGUUCAUCCUCGCAUCAUUAGGUGAUUCAAUUUUGAAUAUUGUGAGCAGUGCGGUACAGAAGUAUUACAUAUUUCUACUAGUCAAAUUUAUGAGUGGAAUUUGCGUAGGCGGCCCGUUAGCGAUGGCGAUGACGUACCUGACGGAAUUCCAUUCGACGAGGUAUAAGCCCCGCUUUACCAUAUGGACGGGAUUUCUCUUCGCCAUGGCGAAUAUCAUACCAGCAGCUCUGGGCAUGAUAAUAUUACCGUUGGAUUGGCACAUCGAAAUCCUUAAGCAAGACUACAAUUCUUGGCGUAUAUAUCUACUGAUCUGCUCGAUACCUUCCGUCGUCGGUCUCUUGACAGCGUUCAUGUUACCGGAAAGCCCUAAGUAUCUCAUGGCAAUUGGCAGGUCAGAUGCUGCCUUGAAAUUGCUUAAGAGAAUAUAUUGUAUGAACACUAGGCAGCCUGCGGAUACGUUCCCGAUAAAAGCGCUGUUCGUUCAGCAAAAGACGCAAUUGGCGCGUCCCAUGCUCGAAGCGAGCCUCGAGAGGAUGCGCAUCUCGUUGUACAACACAAAAUUACUAUUGACAACGACGGCAUACCUGCCUGCCUUCGGCUUCGUAAGUUUCCUCCAAUUUGGAAGUAUGCUCGGAUUUAACACGAUGAGGCUAUGGGUGCCGCAUCUCUUUAUUAUUCUCAACAACUUUGAUCAGGACAAUUGGACGCUGAAGCACAGGCGGCAGCCGACCAUAUGCGAGAUGCUGGAUGUUAACGCAACCUUACCGGCCAGGCAAUAUUUGAAUUGCUCGAACUUUGACGACGUAUGUUUGAGGUGGACCAUUAAUCCCGACGUUUAUCGAAAUUCCACCAUCAUCGCAUCGUCAGCUGUUCUAUUCUCAUUUCUCGCCGGAUUCAUAAUGACUACCAAGCUUCGAAAACAGAUCAUAAUGCUCAUGGCCCUCCUGAUAUCGGCGGCAAGCAGUUUCGGAAUAAAUUGGGCGCAGUCUUCGCCGUAUAUGCUGACGCUGGCGGCGGCGGUUAUCGUGACGACAAGAAUAGCGGAGUCACGAGCACCAGUAUCCUAGUGACCAUUGGAAAUAUUGGCGCUAUCUUGGGAAAUCUAAUUUUCUCCGCGCUUCUGGACACCGAAUGCAUCAUAGCUUUCGUAGGAUUGGGCUGUUUUUUCUCAGUAUGCUUCUGCGUAUCUCUAUUCUUUCCGCAAUCUGUGAAAGAAUCGCCGGCGAAACUUGCUGAGAUUAGCACAUCAAAAUCAUGAAGAGAGCAACACACAAACAUUUCGAAGUCGUACCUACAAAAUUGUAGAAAUUCAAUUAAAUGUGUAGUUGCUUGAGAAAGCUUGGCUAGGCUGUGAUAUUUAUCUAAAACUAUUUAUCGAAGAAAGAAUUUAGGAAAAAAAUAUAAAAUAUAAAAUAAGAAAAAUUCAACGCUAAAUAAAUCUGACUUUCUUUCCUCCUUGGGAAAAAUAGACGUAAUAUAAUUUUUUAUAGAAUA
RNAcentral lists this unclassified non-coding RNA (1819 nucleotides) under Monomorium pharaonis (pharaoh ant). Its description in RNAcentral is "synaptic vesicle glycoprotein 2B, transcript variant X4". Lineage: Eukaryota; Metazoa; Arthropoda; Insecta; Hymenoptera; Formicidae. The record is from RNAcentral.